UCUCGGCAAAUUAUCCUCAUAAGUUUGACAAUAAGAGAAACCAUAUAAAAUUUAAAUUAGCCAAAAUUUAAUUAAUAAUAUGGAAUAAUAAAAUCGGAGGCCACGACUGUUUACUAAAAACACAAUUCAGAGCAAUGAUUAAGAUAAUAGUAUUCUGGAUGAAAUUUGCUCAAUGCCAUUAAUAUAAGAGAGGUAAUUUUAAAGUUACUAAUCGAAAAUCUGGUUAAUAGCGGUCUUAACUAUGAGGAUCCUAAGGUAGCAAAAUAAAUUGGCCAUUAAAUGUGGUCUUGUAUCAAUAAUGUAACGAUGGUCUCACUGUCUCUACAACUUGCUCAGUGAAAUUGAAUUGCGAGUGCAGAUGCUCGCUGUCUUCAGAGGGACGGGAAGACCCUAUGCAGCUUCUACUGA
RNAcentral lists this ribosomal RNA (408 nucleotides) under Russula aff. ochrocephala KS2817. RNAcentral describes it as "LSU rRNA". It matches the Rfam family "Bacterial large subunit ribosomal RNA", at positions 1712 to 2107 of the family's 2925-position model. The record is from RNAcentral. Lineage: Eukaryota; Fungi; Basidiomycota; Agaricomycetes; Russulales; Russulaceae.